Molecule: unclassified non-coding RNA, 1691 nt
Filed under: Centruroides sculpturatus (bark scorpion)
Lineage: Eukaryota; Metazoa; Arthropoda; Arachnida; Scorpiones; Buthidae
Description: pro-neuregulin-2, membrane-bound isoform-like, transcript variant X2
Source: RNAcentral
AUACGCAUCGUGAUAAGCAGCGAUCUUAUCGGAUAUAACACUAUUUAUUUACCGCUAUUAUGUGAUAAUAUUACAAAAUAGUCGAUUGUGGAGAGGGGAAAGUAUAAACUACGAUACUAUCGAAAUUUAAUGUUGUCCGAAGAGCGACGGUAGCAUGAGUCAAGUAUAAAAAUCGAUGUACUGAUCCAGAAAAUGUCACCAAGGUCGAGUGACGAUCACGAGCUGCUCGGUGGGACUAUGCGCAUGACAUCACACAAACGAUAAGAUCCAGUGUGAGGCAACUUGGUCGAGCCAGUCAGACGUCGUCAUGAAGUGCUUCCUACUGGUGUUCUCCGUCCUCAGCAGCGUUUUGGCUCGGGACACGUGCCAUCAAGACAGGACGCUAGAUCCCAUUUCUAAGACUUACCUGUCACCCGUCGUUUUUUUAGGUAAACUAACAAAUGUUGUUCGACACGAAAAUAUGAUGCGUACCAGGUUUCACGUGAAAAAAGUGCUAAAGAAUGUUGGAAUGCAGUCGAAACAGAAAAAGAGGGUACGUCUGGAAUAUAGGAACUCUACUUUCUGUGAACUGCCCAGAGAUAUGGAGUUGACAAAGGAGUAUUUAGUAUUUAUACGCGUAAAUUAUUCCGAGGUUGAACCGUUGUUCCUACCGGAGCCGAGCAAUCCCAAGAUGAUCAGAAAUGUUAGGAAGAUUGCAUGCCGAAAGUGUGCGAAACCCCCAACUGUCGGACGCUUAAAUGACGUCACUCUAAAACCGGGCGGACGUCUAAAGCUGAACUGUAAAAUCGGCGGAAAUCCUUUUCCGAGAGUCGAAUGGUACAAAAACGGGAAAAUAAUCGAAGGAAGAAGCAGGAUUAAAAUAAAAAAUAAAAGGAAACAGUCAAACUUGAUUAUUAAGUCGGUAAAUUAUAAAGACAUUGGUGAAUAUGAAUGUCGAGUGAGUAACAUCGUUCAACAGGAAGCGGUUUCCUCCAAAGCAAAAGUGAUGAUUAAAGCUUUUCAGACGACUACCUCCUCCUCAACAGAAAGUAUCUUCGAGUUUGAAGGCUCUCCGUGUCCUAUGGACACGUUUUGUUUAAAUGGAGGCAACUGUACUUUUUACGAAAUAUUUGGAGAAUAUGUUUGCAAAUGUUCCGAAGGUUAUAGGGGUCGACGGUGUGCAAGUAAAGACAUCUCAGCAGCUUCCAAUGUGCAGAAGGAUACAUUGGACAAAGAUGCGACCACAAGAGUGUUUCAGUCAUUUUGGGGCAGGUAAUGAACCCCCAUCUUAGGCAUGUUACAGGAUCCGUACCUUGGUAAGUUUGAGUAAAGAAAAAAGUGAAUCUGCGUACUAACACUACUAACACUGCAUGCUGUCAACAUGGUCUUUAAAUUAACCAUUUCAUUAAUUAAUAAACUUUAGCGUAAAUAAGUACGCAUGUUUUAAAAUAUUAGUUGCUGCUUGCCCGUUCAAUUGCAUGCUAUUAUUAUUUUACAUUUUGUAAAUUGUUAAUAAUUAUGUUCUAUUUUUAUUUAUUUAUUUAUUUUAUAUAUAUAUAUGUUAGAGAGUGAGGAGAAGCAAGGAAGUUUGUCUUACGUUAUCACUGCCCUUUUUGGGGCCUCGAUAUGGAUAAUAGUGAUUCUGAUGGUGAUCAUCGUCUUUUCUUGCAGAAAACUCUUAAGGUCCCGAAAAAUUUUAAACUCUCUCAAAC